GAUGAACGCUGGCGGCGUGCCUAACACAUGCAAGUCGAGCGAUUUACUUCGGUAAAGAGCGGCGGACGGGAGAGUAACGCGUGGGUAACCUGCCCUGUACACACGGAUAACAUACCGAAAGGUAUGCUAAUACGAGAUAAUAUGCUUUUAUCGCAUGGUAGAAGUAUCAAAGCUUUUGCGGUACAGGAUGGACCCGCGUCUGAUUAGCUAGUUGGUGAGGUAACGGCUCACCAAGGCGACGAUCAGUAGCCGACCUGAGAGGGUGAUCGGCCACAUUGGAACUGAGACACGGUCCAAACUCCUACGGGAGGCAGCAGUGGGGAAUAUUGCACAAUGGGCGAAAGCCUGAUGCAGCAACGCCGCGUGAGCGAUGAAGGCCUUCGGGUCGUAAAGCUCUGUCCUCAAGGAAGAUAAUGACGGUACUUGAGGAGGAAGCCCCGGCUAACUACGUG
Molecule: ribosomal RNA, 452 nt
Filed under: uncultured bacterium
Lineage: Bacteria
Description: partial 16S ribosomal RNA
Rfam family: Bacterial small subunit ribosomal RNA
Source: RNAcentral